This 301-nucleotide ribosomal RNA is filed under the name uncultured bacterium. Its description in RNAcentral is "partial 16S ribosomal RNA". It matches the Rfam family "Bacterial small subunit ribosomal RNA", at positions 509 to 809 of the family's 1533-position model. The record is from RNAcentral.
CAGUAGCCACGGGAAUACGUAGGUGGCAAGCGUUGUCCGGAAUUAUUGGGCGUAAAGGGCUCGCAGGCGGUUUCUUAAGUCUGAUGUGAAAGCCCCCGGCUCAACCGGGGGGGGUCAUUGGAAACUGGGAAACUUGAGUGCAGAAGAGGAGAAUGGAAUUCCACGUGUAGCGGUGAAAUGCGUAGAGAUGUGGAGGAACACCAGUGGCGAAGGCGACUCUCUGGUCUGUAACUGACGCUGAGGAGCGAAAGCGUGGGGAGCGGACAGGAUUAGAUACCCCAGUAGUCCCUGUCUCUUAUAU